CAAUCCUGGUGGCGAGUGGCGAACGGGUGAGUAAUAUAUCGGAACGUGCCCAGUCGUGGGGGAUAACGCAGCGAAAGCUGUGCUAAUACCGCAUACGAUCUAUGGAUGAAAGCGGGGGACCGUAAGGCCUCGCGCGAUUGGAGCGGCCGAUAUCAGAUUAGCUAGUUGGUGGGGUAAAAGCCCACCAAGGCGACGAUCUGUAGCUGGUCUGAGAGGACGACCAGCCACACUGGAACUGAGACACGGUCCAGACUCCUACGGGAGGCAGCAGUGGGGAAUUUUGGACAAUGGGCGCAAGCCUGAUCCAGCAAUGCCGCGUGCAGGAUGAAGGCCUUCGGGUUGUAAACUGCUUUUGUACGGAACGAAACGGUCCUUUCUAAUAUAAGGGGCUAAUGACGGUACCGUAAGAAUAAGCACCGGCUAACUACGUGCCAGCAGCCGCGGUAAUACGUAGGGUGCGAGCGUUAAUCGGAAUUACUGGGCGUAAAGCGUGCGCAGGCGGUUAUAUAAGACAGAUGUGAAAUCCCCGGGCUCAACCUGGGACCUGCAUUUGUGACUGUAUAGCUAGAGUACGGUAGAGGGGGAUGGAAUUCCGCGUGUAGCAGUGAAAUGCGUAGAUAUGCGGAGGAACACCGAUGGCGAAGGCAAUCCCCUGGACCUGUACUGACGCUCAUGCACGAAAGCGUGGGGAGCAAACAGG
This 700-nucleotide ribosomal RNA is filed under the name uncultured beta proteobacterium. RNAcentral describes it as "bacterial SSU rRNA". It matches the Rfam family "Bacterial small subunit ribosomal RNA", at positions 80 to 776 of the family's 1533-position model. Lineage: Bacteria; Pseudomonadati; Pseudomonadota; Betaproteobacteria. The record is from RNAcentral.